CGAGCUGGCCGGGCGACCGCGUUGGCGUCCCGUCCCCCCGGGGAGCGGGUCGCCGCCGAGGAAAGUCCGGACUCCACAGGGCAGGGUGGUUGCUAACGGCAACCCGGGGUGACCCGCGGGACAGUGCCACAGAAAGCAGACCGCCCGGCAGCCGCCGGGUAAGGGUGAAACGGUGGUGUAAGAGACCACCAGCACCCCGGGUGACCGGGGUGGCUCGGUAAACCCCACCUGGAGCAAGGCCAAGAGGGCGCCACACGUGGUGCCUGCGCAGGCGUUCGAGGGUCGCCCGCCCGAUGCCUGCGGGUAGGCCGCACGAGCCUGCCGGCGACGGCAGGCCUAGAUGGAUGGUCGCCGAACGGGAGCGCCGCGAGGCCCCCGGGAACAGAAUCCGGCUUACAGGCCAGCUCGUCCG
This 412-nucleotide RNase P RNA is filed under the name Streptoalloteichus hindustanus. RNAcentral's name for it is "Bacterial RNase P class A". It matches the Rfam family "Bacterial RNase P class A". From Rfam's summary of the family: Ribonuclease P (RNase P) is a ubiquitous endoribonuclease, found in archaea, bacteria and eukarya as well as chloroplasts and mitochondria. Its best characterised activity is the generation of mature 5'-ends of tRNAs by cleaving the 5'-leader elements of precursor-tRNAs. Cellular RNase Ps are ribonucleoproteins. The record is from Rfam by way of RNAcentral. Lineage: Bacteria; Bacillati; Actinomycetota; Actinomycetes; Pseudonocardiales; Pseudonocardiaceae.